UGAGGAGCCUAAGUCUUGUACUAAAGUGUUUUAGCUAAGAUACAAGAGGAUGGGGUUGGAGAGAUGGCUCAGCCGUUAAAGGCUAGGCUCACAACCAAAAGUAUA
Molecule: microRNA precursor, 105 nt
Filed under: Mesocricetus auratus (golden hamster)
Lineage: Eukaryota; Metazoa; Chordata; Mammalia; Rodentia; Cricetidae
Description: miRNA (ENSMAUG00000004571.1)
Source: RNAcentral